CCUAACACAUGCAAGUCGUACGAGAAAGUUGGCUUCGGCCGAUGAGUAAAGUGGCGCACGGGUGAGUAACGCGUGGAUAAUCUACCCCUCAGUUGGGAAUAACUCAUCGAAAGGUGGGCUAAUACCGAAUAAUACUGCAUGACUUCUGUUGUGUAGUCAAAGAUGGCCUCUGCUUGCAAGCUAUCGCUGAAGGAUGAGUCCGCGUACCAUUAGCUAGUUGGUAGGGUAAUGGCCUACCAAGGCAACGAUGGUUAGCUGGUCUGAGAGGAUGAUCAGCCACACUGGAACUGAGACACGGUCCAGACUCCUACGGGAGGCAGCAGUGAGGAAUAUUGCGCAAUGGGGGCAACCCUGACGCAGCAACGCCGCGUGAGUGAGGAAGGUUUUCGGACCGUAAAGCUCUGUCGAGCGGGAAGAAAUGCAUAGUGGCUAAUAUCCAUUAUGCUUGACGGUACCGCUAAAGGAAGCACCGGCUAACUCCGUG
RNAcentral lists this ribosomal RNA (484 nucleotides) under uncultured bacterium. RNAcentral describes it as "bacterial SSU rRNA". It matches the Rfam family "Bacterial small subunit ribosomal RNA", at positions 47 to 507 of the family's 1533-position model. The record is from RNAcentral.